GAUGAACGCUGGCGGCGUGCCUAAUACAUGCAAGUCGAGCGAACGGACGAGAAGCUUGCUUCUCUGAUGUUAGCGGCGGACGGGUGAGUAACACGUGGAUAACCUACCUAUAAGACUGGGAUAACUUCGGGAAACCGGAGCUAAUACCGGAUAAUAUUUUGAACCGCAUGGUUCAAAAGUGAAAGACGGUCUUGCUGUCACUUAUAGAUGGAUCCGCGCUGCAUUAGCUAGUUGGUAAGGUAACGGCUUACCAAGGCAACGAUGCAUAGCCGACCUGAGAGGGUGAACGGCCACACUGGAACUGAGACACGGUCCAGACUCCUACGGGAGGCAGCAGUAGGGAAUCUUCCGCAAUGGGCGAAAGCCUGACGGAGCAACGCCGCGUGAGUGAUGAAGGUCUUCGGAUCGUAAAACUCUGUUAUUAGGGGAGAACAUAUGUGUAAGUAACUGUGCACAUCAUGACGGUACCUAAUCAGAAAGCCACGGCUAACUACGUG
RNAcentral lists this ribosomal RNA (497 nucleotides) under uncultured bacterium. RNAcentral's name for it is "partial 16S ribosomal RNA". It matches the Rfam family "Bacterial small subunit ribosomal RNA", at positions 28 to 507 of the family's 1533-position model. The record is from RNAcentral.